Molecule: transfer RNA, 74 nt
Filed under: Mycoemilia scoparia
Lineage: Eukaryota; Fungi; Kickxellomycota; Kickxellomycetes; Kickxellales; Kickxellaceae
Rfam family: tRNA
About the family: Transfer RNA (tRNA) molecules are approximately 80 nucleotides in length.
Source: Rfam by way of RNAcentral
GUUUUCGUGGUGUAGUUGGUUAUCACGUCUGUCUAACACACAGACUGUCCCCGGUUCGAACCCGGGCGAAAACA